CCCCGAGAUGAGUUCUCCCUGACUCCUUGAGAGUCCUGAAGGAACGUUGAAGACGACGACGUUGAUAGGCCGGGUGUGUAAGCGCAGCGAUGCGUUGAGCUAACCGGUACUAAUGAACCGUGAGGCUUAACCUUACAACGCCGAAGGUGUUU
Molecule: ribosomal RNA, 152 nt
Filed under: Escherichia coli
Lineage: Bacteria; Pseudomonadati; Pseudomonadota; Gammaproteobacteria; Enterobacterales; Enterobacteriaceae
Also listed under: 1 other name
Description: partial 23S ribosomal RNA
Rfam family: Bacterial large subunit ribosomal RNA (bases 1-134)
Source: RNAcentral